UCCUACGGGACGCAGCAGUCGAGAAUCAUUCACAAUGGGGGAAACCCUGAUGGUGCGACGCCGCGUGGGGGAAUGAAGGUCUUCGGAUUGUAAACCCCUGUCCUGUGGGAGCAAAUUAAAAAGAUAGUACCACAAGAGGAAGAGACGGCUAACUCUGUGCCAGCAGCCGCGGUAAUACAGAGGUCUCAAGCGUUGUUCGGAAUCACUGGGCGUCAAGCGUGCGUAGGCUGUUUCGUCAGUCGUGUGUGAAAGGCGCGGGCUCAACCCGCGGACGGCACAUGAUACUGCGUGCCUAGUGUAAUGGG
This 305-nucleotide ribosomal RNA is filed under the name uncultured bacterium. Its description in RNAcentral is "bacterial SSU rRNA". It matches the Rfam family "Bacterial small subunit ribosomal RNA", at positions 337 to 653 of the family's 1533-position model. The record is from RNAcentral.